This 550-nucleotide ribosomal RNA is filed under the name uncultured bacterium. RNAcentral describes it as "bacterial SSU rRNA". It matches the Rfam family "Bacterial small subunit ribosomal RNA", at positions 534 to 1089 of the family's 1533-position model. The record is from RNAcentral.
GCGACGUUGUCCGGAUUUAUUGGGCGUAAAGGGCUCGUAGGUGGUUGAUCGCGUCGGAAGUGUAAUCUUGGGGCUUAACCCUGAGCGUGCUUUCGAUACGGGUUGACUUGAGGAAGGUAGGGGAGAAUGGAAUUCCUGGUGGAGCGGUGGAAUGCGCAGAUAUCAGGAGGAACACCAGUGCGAAGGCGGUUCUCUGGGCCUUUCCUGACGCUGAGGAGCGAAAGCGUGGGGAGCGAACAGGCUUAGAUACCCUGGUAGUCCACGCUGUAAACGGUGGGUACUAAGUGUGGGGUCCAUUCCACGGGUUCCGUGCCGUAGCUAACGCUUUAAUACCCCGCCUGGGGAGUACGGCCGCAACGAAAACUCAAAGGAAUUGACGGGGCCCCGCACAAGCGCGGAGCAUGCGGAUUAAUUCGAUGCAACCGUAGAACCUUACCUGGGUUUGACAUGGAUCGGGAGUGCUCAAGAUGGGUGUGCUCUUUUGGGGUCGGUUCACAGGUGGUGCAUGGCUGUCGUCAGCUCGUGUCGUGAGAUGUUGGGUUAAGUCCCG